RNAcentral lists this ribosomal RNA (253 nucleotides) under uncultured bacterium. RNAcentral's name for it is "partial 16S ribosomal RNA". It matches the Rfam family "Bacterial small subunit ribosomal RNA", at positions 524 to 776 of the family's 1533-position model. The record is from RNAcentral.
UACGUAGGGACCAAGCGUUGUUCGGAUUUACUGGGCGUAAAGAGCUCGUAGGCGGCUCGUCGCGUCAGCUGUGAAAACCCGCGGCUUAACCGUGGGCUUGCAGCUGAUACGGGCGGGCUAGAGUUCGGUAGGGGAGACUGGAAUUCCUGGUGUAGCGGUGAAAUGCGCAGAUAUCAGGAGGAACACCGGUGGCGAAGGCGGGUCUCUGGGCCGAUACUGACGCUGAGGAGCGAAAGCGUGGGGAGCGAACAGG